ACUCAGAAAGGAUGCCAACCGGCCCUCUGAUCGUACUGCAGUGCAGAGACAGAGAUAAGCUGCACAGGGCCAAUAACUGUGACAUCUACUGCAGCUCCUUGAGCUCAACAAGUCGCAUCUUUAUGAAGACUGUGACAAAAAAUGUUGAUAUGUGCAGGGAUCACACUUGUUUGCCCUUUCUCCGUUAUUUAUAACUGGGCGAUCUAGAUGCGGCAUUGGUCAGGCUUCCUGCAUUUAAGCAUCCCAAGGACCUUCGUCAAAACAACAUGUGACCAUUAUUUAGCCACGACAUGCUACUUAUCUUUUGCAGAAUUCUU
RNAcentral lists this long non-coding RNA (317 nucleotides) under Coccomyxa subellipsoidea. RNAcentral's name for it is "long non-coding RNA (CSUB_LNC000540)". Lineage: Eukaryota; Viridiplantae; Chlorophyta; Trebouxiophyceae; Coccomyxaceae. The record is from RNAcentral.